This 253-nucleotide ribosomal RNA is filed under the name uncultured bacterium. Its description in RNAcentral is "partial 16S ribosomal RNA". It matches the Rfam family "Bacterial small subunit ribosomal RNA", at positions 524 to 776 of the family's 1533-position model. The record is from RNAcentral.
CACGUAGGGGGCAAGCGUUGUCCGGAUUCAUUGGGCGUAAAGAGCGUGUAGGCGGCCAGACAGGUCCGUUGUGAAAACUCGAGGCUCAACCUCGAGAUGUCGAUGGAAACCGUCUGGCUAGAGUCCGGAAGAGGAGUGUGGAAUUCCUGGUGUAGCGGUGAAAUGCGCAGAUAUCAGGAAGAACACCUAUGGCGAAGGCAGCACUCUGGGACGGUACUGACGCUGAGACGCGAAAGCGUGGGGAGCGAACAGG